This 1008-nucleotide ribosomal RNA is filed under the name Triticum aestivum (bread wheat). RNAcentral describes it as "partial small subunit ribosomal RNA". The record is from RNAcentral. Lineage: Eukaryota; Viridiplantae; Streptophyta; Magnoliopsida; Poales; Poaceae.
AAAGAAACCACCCGCCCCUCGUCAUCGUCCUUCCCCCUCCCCUCCUACCACGAGCGAUUCCCACCACCCAUCCCGAGCGCCGCCAGCCCCCCACUCCCCGGCGAGCUGCCCCAUCCUGAGCGCCGCCAGCCUCCCCCAACCUCCGGUGCCUCCCCGAUCCGCCACCUCCAUGCGGUGGCCAACUCCUCUGCCAGAUCGCGCCACGCGCAGCCGUACCCACUGUCCCGCCGGCGCCAGCGGCCCAACCCAGGUGGCGCUUCGACGGACCUCCUCCCGGCGAGGCCCGACGCCAACGCCGGGGAUCUCCAGGAGCGGUCGUCCCCUGCUGCGGAUCGCGCCGCCGCCGUCCCCAGCGCUUCUAUACAACCUUCGCCGACCGCCGCCACCAAUCUUCAGAUCCGAUGCGUCUCCUUGAGCUCCCAAGCGAUGACACCGGCAAAUCUAGGUUGGUGCCAUCCAUCUCCUCUCGCCCCCUGGCAAGGCUCCCCCGUCACAACGCAGCCAAGCUGCAGCAUCAAACUGGCCGUUCAACACCGCCGGCUUGGGACGUUCAAUGACGCGGCCCCAUGAUGUUCGUUGUCGCAGCGCCUGGAUCACACUGUCACCAUGCUUCACGAGGCCGAGAUAUUUUCAUUCUUCAUUCGUCGACAUCGGAUUGAACUAAGAAGUCAGGUUCGCAAGUGUCAUGUUCGGCUGUUCGCCGCAGCAGCCCGGAGGUGCUCCUGCAGCCGACCAAGAACAGGGCUGGGACAGGGAUACUUUUGUUCUCAAACACGUCGCUGCGUAUGUGUGUGUAUGAACAUUUUACUCCAUGUUGUUCUUUACAUUCUGUCAUCUCCUAUAGAGUUUAUGAUGCAUAAUGACUAUUGGAUGGAUUAUUUGUUCAUGUGAAUGAAUGCAUUUUGUCUCUCAAACAAGAAUUAUGUGUUGGUUAUCACGUGCCAUAACAAACUUAUUCUUUGGGGAUCUUUGUAUGUAAAGUGUAUCAUUCAAGAAGGUAUGUGUUGC